UACGUAGGGGGCAAGCGUUAUCCGGAUUUACUGGGUGUAAAGGGAGCGUAGACGGCAGCGCAAGUCUGGAGUGAAAUCCCGGGGCUCAACCCCGGAACUGCUUUGGAAACUGUGCAGCUGGAGUGCAGGAGAGGUAAGCGGAAUUCCUAGUGUAGCGGUGAAAUGCGUAGAUAUUAGGAGGAACACCGGUGGCGAAGGCGGCUUACUGGACUGUAACUGACGUUGAGGCUCGAAAGCGUG
This 240-nucleotide ribosomal RNA is filed under the name uncultured bacterium. RNAcentral's name for it is "partial 16S ribosomal RNA". It matches the Rfam family "Bacterial small subunit ribosomal RNA", at positions 524 to 763 of the family's 1533-position model. The record is from RNAcentral.